AGAGUUUGAUCCUGGCUCAGGAUGAACAUUGGCGGCAUGCUUAACACAUGCAAGUCGCACGCUCCGCAAGGAGAGUGGCGUACGGGUGCGUAACACGUAGGUCAUCUGCCCAGAAGUGGGGAAUAACCGCGAGAAAUCGUGGCUAAUACCGCAUGAGCUUGGCAACAAGGAAAGCAGCAAUGCGCUUUUGGAGGAGCCUGCGGCCCAUCAGGUAGUUGGUGUGGUAACGGCGCACCAAGCCGACGACGGGUAGGGGACCUGAGAGGGUGACCCCCCACACUGGGACUGAGACACGGCCCAGACUCCUACGGGAGGCAGCAGUGAGGAAUAUUGCUCAAUGGGCGCAAGCCUGAAGCAGCGACGCCGCGUGGGCGAUGAAGGUUUUCGGAUCGUAAAGCCCUUUUGCAGGUGACGAGGAAGGACGGUAGCCUGCGAAGAAGUGUCGGCUAACUACGUGCCAGCAGCCGCGGUAAUAC
This 476-nucleotide ribosomal RNA is filed under the name uncultured bacterium. RNAcentral's name for it is "bacterial SSU rRNA". It matches the Rfam family "Bacterial small subunit ribosomal RNA", at positions 8 to 526 of the family's 1533-position model. The record is from RNAcentral.